CCUACGGGUGGCAGCAGGGAGGAAUAUUGGGCAAUGGGCGCAAGCCUGACCCAGCAACGCCGCGUGAAGGAAGAAGGCUUUCGGGUUGUAAACUUCUUUUCUGAGGGACGAAGAAAGUGACGGUACCUCAGGAAUAAGCCACGGCUAACUACGUGCCAGCAGUCGAGGGAAUACGUAGGUGGCAAGCGUUAUCCGGAUUUAUUGGGUGUAAAGGGCGUGUAGGCGGGAAAGCAAGUCAGACUUGAAAACUCAGGGCUAAACCCUGAGCCUGGAUUUGAAACUGUUUUUCUUGAGUGCUGGAGAGGCAAUCGGAAUUCCGUGUGUAGCGGUGAAAUGCGUAGAUAUACGGAGGAACACCAGUGGCGAAGGCGGAUUGCUGGACAGUAACUGACGCUGAGGCGCGAAAGCGUGGGGAGCAAACAGGAUUAGAUACCCGUGUAGUC
RNAcentral lists this ribosomal RNA (443 nucleotides) under uncultured bacterium. Its description in RNAcentral is "partial 16S ribosomal RNA". It matches the Rfam family "Bacterial small subunit ribosomal RNA", at positions 338 to 795 of the family's 1533-position model. The record is from RNAcentral.